Molecule: ribosomal RNA, 492 nt
Filed under: uncultured bacterium
Lineage: Bacteria
Description: partial 16S ribosomal RNA
Rfam family: Bacterial small subunit ribosomal RNA
Source: RNAcentral
AGUGAACGCUGGCGGUAGGCCUAACACAUGCAAGUCGAACGGCAGCACAGUAAGAGCUUGCUCUUACGGGUGGCGAGUGGCGGACGGGUGAUGAAUACAUCGGAAUCUACUUUUUCUUGGGGGAUAACGUAGGGAAACUUACGCUAAUACCGCAUACGACCUACGGGUGAAAGCAGGGGAUCUUCGGACCUUGCGCGAUUGAAUGAGCCGAUGUCGGAUUAGCUAGUUGGCGGGGUAAAGGCCCACCAAGGCGACGAUCCGUAGCUGGUCUGAGAGGAUGAUCAGCCACACUGGAACUGAGACACGGUCCAGACUCCUACGGGAGGCAGCAGUGGGGAAUAUUGGACAAUGGGCGCAAGCCUGAUCCAGCCAUACCGCGUGGGUGAAGAAGGCCUUCGGGUUGUAAAGCACUUUUGUUGGGAAAGAAAAGCAGCAGGUUAAUACCCCGCUGCUCUGACGGUACCAAAAGAAUAAGCACCGGCUAACUUCGUG